UACGUAGGGGGCAAGCGUUAUCCGGAAUCACUGGGCGUAAAGGGUGCGUAGGCGGCUUGUCAAGCCAGAGGUGAAAGGCAUUGGCUCAACCAAUGUAAGCCUUUGGAACUGACGAACUUGAGUGCAGGAGAGGUAAGUGGAAUUCCUAGUGUAGAGGUGAAAUUCGUAGAUAUUAGGAGGAACACCAGUGGCGAAGGCGACUUACUGGACUGUAACUGACGCUGAUGCACGAAAGCGUGGGUAGCGAACAGG
RNAcentral lists this ribosomal RNA (252 nucleotides) under uncultured bacterium. RNAcentral describes it as "partial 16S ribosomal RNA". It matches the Rfam family "Bacterial small subunit ribosomal RNA", at positions 524 to 776 of the family's 1533-position model. The record is from RNAcentral.